Molecule: ribosomal RNA, 820 nt
Filed under: uncultured bacterium
Lineage: Bacteria
Description: bacterial SSU rRNA
Rfam family: Bacterial small subunit ribosomal RNA
Source: RNAcentral
UGGGCGUAAGGAUGCGUAGGCUGGAAAUCAAGUCGAGAGUGAAAUCCAACGGCUCAACCGUUGAACUGCUCUCGAAACUGGUUACCUAGAAUAUGGGAGAGGUAGAUGGAAUUGGUGGUGUAGGGGUAAAAUCCGUAGAUAUCACCAGGAAUACCGAUUGCGAAGGCGAUCUACUGGAACAUUAUUGACGCUGAGGCAUGAAAGCGUGGGGAGCAAACAGGGUUAGAUACCCUGGUAGUCCACGCCCUAAACGAUGCACACUAGUUGUUGCGAUGCUAGUCAUUGCAGUAAUGCACUUAACAGAUUAAGUGUGCCGCCUGGGGAGUACGGUCGCAAGAUUAAAACUCAAAGGAAUAGACGGGGACCCGCACAAGCGGUGGAGCAUGUGGUUUAAUUCGAAGAUACACGAAGAACCUUACCUGGGCUUGAUAUCCUAAGAAUCCUGUAGAGAUAUGGGAGUGCUAGUUUACUAGAACUUAGAGACAGGUGCUGCACGGCUGUCGUCAGCUCGUGUCGUGAGAUGUUGGGUUAAGUCCCGCAACGAGCGCAACCCUCGUGAUUAGUUGCUAACAGUUCGGCUGAGCACUCUAAUCAGACUGCCUUCGCAAGGAGGAGGAAGGUGAGGACGACGUCAAGUCAUCAUGGCCCUUAUGCCCAGGGCUACACACGUGCUACAAUGGCUAGGACAAAGAGAAGCGAUACUGCGAAGUGGAGCAAAUCUUAAAACCUAGUCUCAGUUCGGAUUGGAGUCUGCAACUCGACUCCAUGAAGCUGGAAUCGCUAGUAAUCGUAGAUCAGAUAUGCUACGGUGAAUACGUUC